This 425-nucleotide ribosomal RNA is filed under the name uncultured bacterium. RNAcentral describes it as "bacterial SSU rRNA". It matches the Rfam family "Bacterial small subunit ribosomal RNA", at positions 356 to 773 of the family's 1533-position model. The record is from RNAcentral.
GAGGAAUAUUGCGCAAUGGGCGAAAGCCUGACGCAGCGACGCCGCGUGAGGGAUGAAGGUUUUAGGAUCGUAAACCUCUGUUAAGUGGGAAGAAAAGUUAGAUUUUAAUAGAGUCUAAUCAUGACGGUACCAUUAGAGAAAGCACCGGCUAACUUCGUGCCAGCAGCCGCGGUAAUACGAGGGGUGCAAACGUUAUUCGGAAUUAUUGGGCGUAAAGGGUGUGCAGGCGGUAUUUUAAGUCUACUGUUAAAGAUCUCGGCCUAACCGAGAAAAAGCAGUGGAUACUGGGAUACUAGAGGAUGGAAGAGAGAAGUGGAAUUCUUGGAGUAGCGGUAAAAUGCGUAGAUCUCAAGAGGAACACCAAUGGCGAAGGCAGCUUCUUGGUCCAUUCCUGACGCUGAUACACGAAAGCGUGGGGAGCAAAC